AUUGAACGCUGGCGGCAUGCCUUACACAUGCAAGCCGAACGGCAGCACGGGGCAACCUGGUGGCGAGUGGCGAACGGGUGAGUAAUGCAUCGGAACGUGCCAUUGAGUGGGGGAUAACGUAGCGAAAGUUGCGCUAAUACCGCAUAUUCUGUGAGCAGGAAAGCAGGGACCGCAAGGCCUUGCGCUCUUUGAGCGGCCGAUGUCAGAUUAGCUAGUUGGUGAGGUAACGGCUUACCAAGGCGACGAUCUGUAGCGGGUCUGAGAGGAUGAUCCGCCACACUGGAACUGAGACACGGUCCAGACUCCUACGGGAGGCAGCAGUGGGGAAUUUUGGACAAUGGCGGCAAGACCUGAUACCAGCCAUGCCGCGUGAGUGAAGAAGGAC
This 385-nucleotide ribosomal RNA is filed under the name uncultured bacterium. Its description in RNAcentral is "bacterial SSU rRNA". It matches the Rfam family "Bacterial small subunit ribosomal RNA", at positions 30 to 416 of the family's 1533-position model. The record is from RNAcentral.